Notolabrus celidotus (New Zealand spotty) is the source of this 1497-nucleotide long non-coding RNA. RefSeq lists it as uncharacterized. The record is from RefSeq and is a predicted model, not a curated record. NCBI's taxonomy places the organism in Eukaryota, Metazoa, Chordata, Actinopteri, Labriformes, Labridae. The transcript is spliced from 4 exons.
UCUGCUAACCACCUAGCCUGCAGGCUACGUAAUUAGCUAGCUUGGGUAAGCUAAGAGAGAGAGCUUGAACAAAACACCAAGCCUCGUGAUAUCAAAACGAAGCAAGUGUUGUCUUCCGUUUACCGAGAGGCCGGUACAUAAUAAUGUAGAGAAAUAAUUUAAACUUAAGACAAAUAGUGUUUGUCAAACUGAGCUAACUAACUUGCUAGUAGCAUUCAGGCUAGCUAACUUGUUAGAGUGGCGUGACGUCAAAGUUUUGGGUACGUGUCUCUUCCAAACAGGAGGGGAACUGACAAAAGAAGAGGAGCAGAGCAAUAGAGGAGUGAAUCACUCACACACCUGUUAUGUAGUGAUAGACAGCUGCCAUAUGUCCGAACCUGCAUGCGUGGGAACAGAGAAGGGGCAGCGAACAGAAAGAGGACAAGAUGGAAAGAGGACUAUAAAUAUACAUCUCAGGUCUAACGUGCUGACACUGGAGAAAAGAAACAGCUGGGAUUGAACAUCAGGAAUCUGCUCAGUAGUGCAACAAAGGCUGCACUUCUUCACAGCUUUAGCCUCCUUUUCAUAUUACGGUGAAGAUGAAGAUGAGAGGAAGAGUCGAGGGGAGCUCAUUGGAAGUAUUGAGACACAUCCAGAGGCCGGUCCAUCCACUCUCCACUCCUUCCCCUGAUACAUGUGAUGAAUCACCGCUGACUGCACCCACAUCUCUCUCUGUCAGACGGGGGCCGACCCCAGUCUAAUAUACACACCCCUAGGACCCACUCAUAUUUCUCCAUCGUACUCCAUCCGCAGCUCCCUUUUUCUCCAUUCUUCACUCUCUCACCUUCGUUCUUUCCUCAAGUUUUCCCUGUUUCUCUCUGCAGCCGCCCCCUCCUCCUCCUCCUCCUCCUCCUUCUUCCCCUGUCCUCCUUUUUCAAAAUCUUCCUUAUUUCCUUCACGCUCUUAAAUCACCCUUUUUAAAUUUCCCACAUGAAACAUAAAAUGUCCCAAUCGCACCACUCAUCUUUCCUACACAUCUGUCUUUCCAAACAGAAAAAAACAAAAAGUUACUGCCACAGCUCCCGUGAUAACAGCCUGUAAUUGUUUCCUGUUGAGUUUCUCACCCUGAUUGGCUGUUUGUGCCACCUCUGACCCAGUGAAGGAGUUCACGGACAUCAUGCCAGCAUGGACAGAGCCGCUGCCAAGACCAGAGAGCUGGUUGUGCCCUCGUGGCACUGUCGUGUAGAGGGCCUCCGCGAUAUCUGCUGCUCGUUUCAGAAUCAUCUCCUGACAAAGGAGAAGAAGAAAAAACAGCUGUGGUCAGAAAUAGAGAGAAGAGAAGAGGAGAAAAUGCACCCUUGAUGCAGGCUUUAUGGUCUCACAAGAAUGCUAGAUCUCCACUGGAGAUAUUGUGCAUUUAAACCUAGCAGGCUGAGUGGUUUUUAUCAGUGGUCACAGGGAGUGGUGGGAUGGGUUCCAGUAAAUGGAGGAAAGCCUCAUUAACAGACUCAUCAAAUC